This 459-nucleotide ribosomal RNA is filed under the name Streptococcus sp. 05-7618. RNAcentral describes it as "bacterial SSU rRNA". It matches the Rfam family "Bacterial small subunit ribosomal RNA", at positions 70 to 514 of the family's 1533-position model. Lineage: Bacteria; Bacillati; Bacillota; Bacilli; Lactobacillales; Streptococcaceae. The record is from RNAcentral.
AGCUUGGUGCUUGCACCGAGCGGAUGAGUUGCGAACGGGUGAGUAACGCGUAGGUAACCUGCCUCUUAGCGGGGGAUAACUAUUGGAAACGAUAGCUAAUACCGCAUAAAAGUCGAUAUCGCAUGAUGUUGAUUUGAAAGGUGCAAUUGCAUCACUAAGAGAUGGACCUGCGUUGUAUUAGCUAGUUGGUGAGGUAACGGCUCACCAAGGCGACGAUACAUAGCCGACCUGAGAGGGUGAUCGGCCACACUGGGACUGAGACACGGCCCAGACUCCUACGGGAGGCAGCAGUAGGGAAUCUUCGGCAAUGGGGGCAACCCUGACCGAGCAACGCCGCGUGAGUGAAGAAGGUUUUCGGAUCGUAAAGCUCUGUUGUAAGAGAAGAACGAGUGUGAGAGUGGAAAGUUCACACUGUGACGGUAACUUACCAGAAAGGGACGGCUAACUACGUGCCAGCAG